Molecule: ribosomal RNA, 497 nt
Filed under: uncultured bacterium
Lineage: Bacteria
Description: partial 16S ribosomal RNA
Rfam family: Bacterial small subunit ribosomal RNA
Source: RNAcentral
GAUGAACGCUGGCGGCGUGCCUAAUACAUGCAAGUCGAGCGAACAGAUGAGGAUCUUGCUCCUCUGACGUUUGCGGCGGACGGGUGAGUAACACGUGUAUAACCUACCUAUAAUACUGGGAUAACUUCGGGAAACCGGAUCUAAUACCGGAUAAUAUAUUGAACCGCAUGGUUCAAUAGUGAAAGACGGUUUUGCUGUCACUUAUAGAUGGAUCCGCGCCGCAUUGGCUAGUUGGUAAGGUAACGGCUUACCAAGGCAACGAUGCGUAGCCGACCUGAGAGGGUGAUCGGCCACCCUGGAACUGUGACACGGUCCAGACUCCUACAGGCGGCAGCGGUGGGGAAGUGUCCGAAAUGGGAGAAAGCCUGCAAGAGUAACGCCGCGUGGGUGCUGAAGGGCUUCGGAUCGUAGAACUCUGUUAUUAGGGAAGAACAAAUGUGUAAGUAACUAUGGACGUCUUGACGGUACCUAAUCAGAAAGCGACGGCUAACUACGUG